GUCCUGUACCUGAGCCAACGAGUAACUCCAACGAAAAGCCCUGUACCUAAGCCAACGCGCAAACCCAUUCCUGCUCCCACCAAGCACCCUG
This 91-nucleotide non-coding RNA is filed under the name uncultured eukaryote. The record is from RNAcentral.